UACGUAGGUGGCAAGCGUUAUCCGGAAUUAUUGGGCGUAAAGCGCGCGUAGGCGGUUUUUUAAGUCUGAUGUGAAAGCCCACGGCUCAACCGUGGAGGGUCAUUGGAAACUGGAAAACUUGAGUGCAGAAGAGGAAAGUGGAAUUCCAUGUGUAGCGGUGAAAUGCGCAGAGAUAUGGAGGAACACCAGUGGCGAAGGCGACUUUCUNGGUCUGUAACUGACGCUGAUGUGCGAAAGCGUGGGGAUCAAACAGGAUUAGA
This 260-nucleotide ribosomal RNA is filed under the name uncultured Staphylococcus sp. RNAcentral describes it as "partial 16S ribosomal RNA". It matches the Rfam family "Bacterial small subunit ribosomal RNA", at positions 524 to 782 of the family's 1533-position model. Lineage: Bacteria; Bacillati; Bacillota; Bacilli; Caryophanales; Staphylococcaceae. The record is from RNAcentral.